Molecule: ribosomal RNA, 495 nt
Filed under: uncultured bacterium
Lineage: Bacteria
Description: partial 16S ribosomal RNA
Rfam family: Bacterial small subunit ribosomal RNA
Source: RNAcentral
UGAACGCUGGCGGCGUGCCUAAUACAUGCAAGUCGAGCGAACGGACGAGAAGCUUGCUUCUCUGAUGUUAGCGGCGGACGGGUGAGUAACACGUGGAUAACCUACCUAUAAGACUUGGAUAACUUCGGGAAACCGGAGCUAAUACCGGAUAAUAUUUUGAACCGCAUGGUUCAAAAGUGAAAGACGUUCUUGCUGUCACUUAUAGAUGGAUCCGCGCUGCAUUAGCUAGUUGGUAAGGUAACGGCUUACCAAGGCAACGAUGCAUAGCCGACCUGAGAGGGUGAUCGGCCACACUGGAACUGAGACACGGUCCAGACUCCUACGGGAGGCAGCAGUAGGGAAUCUUCCGCAAAGGGCGAAAGCCUGACGGAGCAACGCCGCGUGAGUGAUGAAGGUCUUCGGAUCGUAAAACUCUGUUAUUAGGGAAGAACAUAUGUGUAAGUAACUGUGCACAUCUUGACGGUACCUAAUCAGAAAGCCACGGCUAACUACGUG